This 445-nucleotide ribosomal RNA is filed under the name uncultured bacterium. RNAcentral's name for it is "partial 16S ribosomal RNA". It matches the Rfam family "Bacterial small subunit ribosomal RNA", at positions 354 to 796 of the family's 1533-position model. The record is from RNAcentral.
GUGAGGAAUAUUGGUCAAUGGGCGAGAGCCUGAACCAGCCAAGUAGCGUGAAGGAUGAAGGCUCUAUGGGUCGUAAACUUCUUUUAUAUGGGAAUAAAGUUUUCCACGUGUGGAAUUUUGUAUGUACCAUAUGAAUAAGGAUCGGCUAACUCCGUGCCAGCAGCCGCGGUAAUACGGAGGAUCCGAGCGUUAUCCUGAUUUAUUGGGUUUAAAGGGAGCGUAGGUGGAUUGUUAAGUCAGUUGUGAAAGUUUGCGGCUCAACCGUAAAAUUGCAGUUGAAACUGGCAGUCUUGAGUACAGUAGAGGUGGGCGGAAUUCGUGGUGUAGCGGUGACAUGCUUAGAUAUCACGAAGAACUCCGAUUGCGAAGGCAGCUCACUAGACUGUCACUGACACUGAUGCUCGAAAGUGUGGGUAUCAAACAGGAUUAGAUACCCGAGUAGUCC